CACGACGCCGCGUGGGGGAUGACGGCCUUCGGGUUGUAAACCUCUUUCGACCCCGACGAAGGGUGACUGACGGUAGGGGUAGAAGAAGCACCGGCCAACUACGUGCCAGCAGCCGCGGUAAUACGUAGGGUGCGAGCGUUGUCCGGAAUUAUUGGGCGUAAAGAGCUCGUAGGCGGUGUGUCGCGUCGGCCGUGAAAACCUGCAGCUUAACUGUGGGCUUGCGGUCGAUACGGGCAUCACUGGAGUUCGGCAGGGGAGACUGGAAUUCCUGGUGUAGCGGUGAAAUGCGCAGAUAUCAGGAGGAACACCGGUGGCGAAGGCGGGUCUCUGGGCCGAUGCUGACGCUGAGGAGCGAAAGCGUGGGGAGCGAACAGGAUUAGAUACCCUGGUAGUCCACGCCGUAAACGGUGGGCGCUAGGUGUGGGGGCCAUUCCACGGUCUCUGUGCCGGAGCUAACGCAUUAAGCGCCCCGCCUGGGGAGUACGGCCGC
This 490-nucleotide ribosomal RNA is filed under the name uncultured Actinomycetes bacterium. RNAcentral's name for it is "bacterial SSU rRNA". It matches the Rfam family "Bacterial small subunit ribosomal RNA", at positions 390 to 889 of the family's 1533-position model. Lineage: Bacteria; Bacillati; Actinomycetota; Actinomycetes. The record is from RNAcentral.